GCUGAUAUAGCUCAGUCGGUAGAGCGCAUCCUUGGUAAGGAUGAGGUCGGCAGUUCGAAUCUGCCUAUCAGCACCA
Molecule: transfer RNA, 76 nt
Filed under: Bermanella marisrubri
Lineage: Bacteria; Pseudomonadati; Pseudomonadota; Gammaproteobacteria; Oceanospirillales; Oceanospirillaceae
Also listed under: 21 other names
Description: tRNA-Thr
Rfam family: tRNA
About the family: Transfer RNA (tRNA) molecules are approximately 80 nucleotides in length.
Source: RNAcentral